This 94-nucleotide transfer RNA is filed under the name bacterium. RNAcentral describes it as "tRNA-Sec". It matches the Rfam family "Selenocysteine transfer RNA". The record is from RNAcentral. RNAcentral also lists the same sequence under 1 other name.
GGUAGAGCAUCGUUUCCGGUGAAGCGCUUGGCCUUCAAAGCUGAUGAGCUGCUGUUAAAGUGGCUGGUGGGUUCGACUCCUACCUCUACCGCCA